AUGAAACCUGUAAAUGCAGUUGAUCCCAUUGAUGUGUUAAACAUCAAAAUGAAGAGAUUCAAAAAAUUCUUCAAAGGGUGGGGAUCCAACUUGUUUGGGAAAUCUAAAAAGAGAAGGAGAGACCUUAGAGAGGAACUUGAACAUCUAGAAAAAUUAGAAGAAACUGAUGUGCUUUCUCCCGAAUUAUACUGCAAGAAAGUGGAUAUUUUGGCAAAACUUUAUGAUCUAUUGGUGGAAGAAGAGAUUGCAUGGAUGCAAAAAUCUCAUGAAAAUUGGCUGUUGAAAGGGGAUAGAAAUACUGAAUACUUUCAUAGAAUUGUAAAUGGGAGAAGAAGGAGAAAUACUAUUUUCUCACUUAGCUGUGGAGAUGAGAUAAUUGAGGGAACUAGAAACUUGCUGAAACAUGCAACUGAGUUUUAUAAAGAACUUUUUGGGCCUGCGGCUGGAAAUCUAUGCAAACUUAAGGAAAAUAUGUGGGAACCAAAUGAAAAACUGCCAAAUAUUGAC
This 507-nucleotide ribosomal RNA is filed under the name Triticum aestivum (bread wheat). RNAcentral describes it as "partial small subunit ribosomal RNA". The record is from RNAcentral. Lineage: Eukaryota; Viridiplantae; Streptophyta; Magnoliopsida; Poales; Poaceae.